This is a long non-coding RNA of Eutrema salsugineum, 1091 nucleotides long. RefSeq lists it as uncharacterized. NCBI's taxonomy places the organism in Eukaryota, Viridiplantae, Streptophyta, Magnoliopsida, Brassicales, Brassicaceae. The record is from RefSeq and is a predicted model, not a curated record. The transcript has 2 exons.
AAUCCAUUUGUUCAAAAACUUGACUGGUUAAUCAAAUGGAUUUUUGAAAAUCAAAAGCCAAAAUCUGUUUCAAAAACUACAAACAAUCAAGGCCUUAGAAAGAAAACUCUACUCUCAAAUCUCUUCCUCCUCGCCAUGGUUUCAUUCGGCCAAAACUCUGACCGUCGUCGCACACAUCCCUCCGAUCCACUCCGCGCACAUCCCUCCGAAUCGAUUCCGCCGGAUUGUCAGGUUUUCUCUCUUGCUUUAUGAUGAAUGCUUCUACUAAACCAAGGUAUGUGAUUUCUUAUCAUUAAUUCUUGCUGUGUAAGAUUUUCUUUGUUUGUUAUGUUUCAAGAGAUGAAACAGAGAAGGCCUGCUUAAUAGUGGUUUGGAGAUUUGGCAUGUCUUUAGCUGAAGCUUCUUCACUUAAUUUCUUUCAUAUUGUCUGUUAUUCUCUUGCUUUAUGAUGAAUGCUUUUAUUAAACCAAGGGUGAUUUUAUAAUUAAUUAUGGCUGUGUAAUAACAUCUUUGAUUUGUUAUGUUCGAUAGAUGCAACAGAGAAGGCUUGCAGACUUCAGCUUCAGGUCUUUAAUACUUCUUUGUUCUGACAAUUGUAUAGACAUAUUUUUCCACAAAUUCAUCCGAACAACUUGGCAAGGCUACUACAAUAUACCAUGGAGCAGCUGGAAAUAUGUUCCUUGAGAGAGGAAAGAUGUGUGGUGGCAGACUUAAGUGUUUGUUUUCUCUAAGUUAACUAUUUCUUUUACUCAACACAAUGAAUGUUGUUUACUAACUUACAAAUACUAAAUUUUUUUUUUCUUUGAAGAUCUCAAGGUUGGCGUGACAACUCUCAAAGGGAACUUGGUGGAGUUGAAGAAUGAGUUUAAGGAGAUGGUUCACAAUGAACAAUUCUCUUUGGAUUAAGACCCUACCACGACUACUAACCCGACUACGAUAGUGCUGGGUACUACCCAGUUAGAUAAGUGGUGUGCUAAUGUUUUUGGGAUUAAAAUGUUCAGCUUUUGUAAGUCAUUAGACUUUAUAAUUCUUUUGGUAAUAUAUGAUUGGAUCUUUGUAAAACAUUUGGUAAUAUAUGAUAUUGGAUUUUA